AGUGAACGCUGGCGGUAGGCCUAACACAUGCAAGUCGAACGGCAGCACAGUAAGAGCUUGCUCUUACGGGUGGCGAGUGGUGGACGGGUGAGGAAUACAUCGGAAUCUACUUUUUCGUGGGGGAUAACGUAGGGAAACUUACGCUAAUACCGCAUACGACCUACGGGUGAAAGCAGGGGAUCUUCGGACCUUGCGCGAUUGAAUGAGCCGAUGUCGGAUUAGCUAGUUGGCGGGGUAAAGGCCCACCAAGGCGACGAUCCGUAGCUGGUCUGAGAGGAUGAUCAGCCACACUGGAACUGAGACACGGUCCAGACUCCUACGGGAGGCAGCAGUGGGGAAUAUUGGACAAAGGGCGCAAGCCUGAUCCAGCCAUACCGCGUGGGUGAAGAAGGCCUUCGGGUUGUAAAGCCCUUUUGUUGGGAAAGAAAAGCAGCAGGUUAAUACCCCGCUGUUCUGACGGUACCCAAAGAAUAAGCACCGGCUAACUUCGUG
This 492-nucleotide ribosomal RNA is filed under the name uncultured bacterium. Its description in RNAcentral is "partial 16S ribosomal RNA". It matches the Rfam family "Bacterial small subunit ribosomal RNA", at positions 29 to 507 of the family's 1533-position model. The record is from RNAcentral.